This is a long non-coding RNA of Nicotiana tabacum (common tobacco), 1699 nucleotides long. RefSeq lists it as uncharacterized. Lineage: Eukaryota; Viridiplantae; Streptophyta; Magnoliopsida; Solanales; Solanaceae. The record is from RefSeq and is a predicted model, not a curated record.
UAAAGUGCUCUGUUCAACUCAUACUUCUUUCUCUCUAUACGAACAAAUAUUUUUAGGGUUUCUCUUGAAGAUUUUCUUCGAGUUCAUGGGGAAUUUGACUAUUUUCAUGUUAUCAAAGCUCAAAAUUGAAGACAUAUGAGCAUUCCAUAUCGAUCGAUUCUAUCCUUGGAUGUUGGUUCGUGGUUUUGGAUUUUUUGGUGGUGAGUUUGCUUCGGUGUUUUCUUAACGAUGUGUUCUGUUGAAAUUAGUCGUCAGAGACCGAUAACUUACUUCUGCUAUAACUUUUGUUGUCUACAUUUGCUUUGCUGUGAGAAUUGAUUGAAUUUUGUGGAAGCCCUAAUUCUUUCAAAACCCUAAUUUUCGACCGAGUAAUUUUCUAUCAAUGGCUCAUAUCGACGAUUCUACCACUCUACUCUAGCUUCAACCUCAACUAUUUCUUCUUCUGUUGAACCGUCACACCCUUUGUACCUAUAUCCGUCUGACUCACAUGGUACAAUUUUGGUCAUGAAUACCUUUAAUGGCAUGGGUUAUGGGGGUUAGAGACGAAGCAUCUUGAUUGGGUUAUCAUGUAAAAACAAAUUGGGGAUAAUGAAUGGAAAAAUCCCUAAACCUAGUGAAAACUCUGUGUUGUUUGAACCCUGGGUUCCUUAUAAUAAUAUGAUGACUGCGUGGAUACAAAAUAGCCUAGACACUGAGAUUAGGGAGAGUGUGAUGUAUACAGAAUCUGCUCAAAAACUUUGCAAAGAAAUCGAACAACGUUAUGGGAAAGCAAAUGGGACUAAGGUAUUUCAAAUCAUGAAGGACCUUGCUUCCAUUUCCCAGGGGCCUUCUAACAUUGCUUCCUAUUUCAGUCGUAUUAAAAAUCUUUGGAUGAGUUGGCUUACUCAAUUGCUUAUCUAGACAAUACAUGUGGUUAUAAAGAGGCUUUUCAGAAGCUAGAAGAAGAGCAAAAGGUUCAUCAAUUCUUGAUGGGGUUAAAUGAAACCUACACUGGGGUUAGGAGAAACAUUUUGUUGAUGAAGCCUUUGCCUGAUAAUGACAGUGUGUAUGCAAUGCUAAUUGAGGAUGAAAGCCAAGCUGAAGUUCAAAUUUCAAAUUUUUCCUUCAGUCCAGAGUCUUCCUCUUUUGCCACAAAUGUUCAGAAGCCUAUGAAUUCAAGGGUACCAUUUGACACUACUAGGGACAAUACUAGAGUUCAAAGGUCUUUCACUCCAAGGAUAAAUUUUGAUUCUGCUAAGAAGGGGAACUCUAGUUUGAUGUGCAGAUGUUAUAAGAAACAUGGGCAUCUGAUUGAAAACUGUUAUAAGCUGCAUUCAAAAGGUCAGCUGCAUUUGCUCAAGUCUCAGAUUCACCUGAUAUGGGAGUUACUGAUAACUCUACUUCUGAGAGCUCCAAGGUAAUUCCACUUGACAUUGGGGGUAACAUUCUAAUAAAGGAUCGAUAUGAUCAACUGCUCAAUUUUCUUCAACAGUCCAAGAUGUCCUCUGCUUCUCAAGAAAUUCCAUCUGGUUCAGGAAAUUUUGCAGGUCUAAUAGGGCCUUUUUCUGAAGAAGUCAGUGGUGCGUGGUAGACUUCUGAAGGGUCUCUACAUCCUUCAGCCUAAUGAUCUUUGUAAAUGUGAUGUUUCUUCUUUUAAUUCCUCUAUAAAAACCAUAACUGUCAAUGUUGAUAUAAAGAAUAAGAGCGGUUCUACUCUCUA